Molecule: ribosomal RNA, 463 nt
Filed under: uncultured bacterium
Lineage: Bacteria
Description: bacterial SSU rRNA
Rfam family: Bacterial small subunit ribosomal RNA
Source: RNAcentral
AGAGUUUGAUCCUGGCUCAGAACGAACGCUGGCGGCGUGCCUAACACAUGCAAGUCGAACGCGAAAGCAGACUUCGGUCUGCGAGUAGAGCGGCGAACGGCUGCGGAACACGUUGGAACCUGCCCCAGACUCAGGGAUAACUCACCGAAAGGUGGGCUAAUACCGGAUGGUCUCGUAAGAGUAAAGCUUUUGCGGUCUGGGAGGGGCCUGCGGCCUAUCAGCUUGUUGGUAAGGUAACGGCUUACCAAGGCUAUGACGGGUAGCUGAUCUGAGAGGAUGAUCAGCCAGAAUGGGACUGAGACACGGCCCAUACUCCUACGGGAGGCAGCAGUGAGGAAUAUUCCGCAAUGGGGGAAACCCUGACGGAGCGACACCGCGUGAAGGAUGACGCCCUUUUCGGGUGUAAACUUCUGUUCUGAGGGACGAAAUUUUUGACGUACCUCAGGAGAAAGCACCGCUAAUU